GUCCAGACUCCUACGGGAGGCAGCAGUGGGGGAUAUUGCACAAUGGGGGGAACCCUGAUGCAGCGACGCCGCGUGGGUGAAGGAGUGCUUCGGCAUGUAAAGCCCUAUCGGCAGGGAAGAAGCAAGACGGUACCUGACUAAGAAGCCCCGGCUAACUACGUGCCAGCAGCCGCGGGAAUACGUAGGGGGCAAGCGUUAUCCGGAUUUACUGGGUGUAAAGGGAGCGUAGACGGUCCUGCAAGCCAGAUGUGAAAGCCCGGGGCUCAACCCCGGGACUGCAUUUGGAACUGUAAGGCUAGAGUGUCGGAGAGGCAGGCGGAAUUCCUAGUGUAGCGGUGAAAUGCGUAGAUAUUAGGAGGAACACCAGUGGCGAAGGCGGCCUGCUGGACGAUGACUGACGUUGAGGCUCGAAAGCGUGGGGAGCAAACAGGAUUAGAUACCCGUGUAU
This 448-nucleotide ribosomal RNA is filed under the name uncultured bacterium. RNAcentral describes it as "bacterial SSU rRNA". It matches the Rfam family "Bacterial small subunit ribosomal RNA", at positions 329 to 793 of the family's 1533-position model. The record is from RNAcentral.